This is a long non-coding RNA of Syngnathoides biaculeatus (alligator pipefish), 591 nucleotides long. RefSeq lists it as uncharacterized. The transcript is spliced from 3 exons. The record is from RefSeq and is a predicted model, not a curated record. NCBI's taxonomy places the organism in Eukaryota, Metazoa, Chordata, Actinopteri, Syngnathiformes, Syngnathidae.
AGCCGUACCUUUGAGGGGGGGUACUGUCAAGAUCCUGCAGCUCCAGCCCGGGCUGUGCGGGUGUCCGCGUGGUUGCGCUGAUUGGGAGGCGCACACCUGCGCCUCAUGCGGGCUGAUUAGUCCAUGUAUUUUUAUGACCCCGAUGACGACUGGUCGCCGCCAGUUCGUUGAGGUUCAUGUCCCGUUCGAGUACUCCCGUAUCCCUGAUCGACAACCGGUGUGUACCGACCUUCGCCUGUUCUCCGACCAACCCCGUAAGCCUGACUCCUUUGACACUUCUGCCUGCUUUGAUCGUUCUCCUGUGUCCUGACCCUGCCUGCCCGCUCACCUGCUCUCUUCGCCCGAGGUCCCAACUACCGCUGCUGCACCUGACUGCCUGCCCGAUCCCUGACGACGAAAUAAUAAAUGUUUCUCCCCGAACUACCUUGCAUCGUCCGAGUCCUGCAUUUGGGUCCUACUCCCGUUCCGAUGGGACGUGACAAUCAGCACCAAAAACCUGAAGUGGAGGAUUCGGAAAGUGACGCCAGUGCUGUAAUUACCAUGCAAGACCAUCAAAGCAGUGGAACAGGUGGUUCACUAUCACCAUGAAGA